GGGGAUGUAGCUCAUAUGGUAGAGCGUAUGGUUUGCAUCCAUAAGGUAAAGGGAUCGAUACCCUUCUUCUCCA
Dictyostelium firmibasis is the source of this 73-nucleotide non-coding RNA. The record is from the annotation of a GenBank genome assembly. Lineage: Eukaryota; Evosea; Eumycetozoa; Dictyosteliales; Dictyosteliaceae.